CGGAAGCAGCUUGAAAAUGGCGUCUCCCUUGCUGGAGCGGCCAGAAAAAGGGGCUGGAAAAAGUGAAUUUCGUAACCAGAAGCCGAAGCCGGAGAACCAAGAUGAAUCAGAACUCCUUACAGUUCCUGAUGGUUGGAAGGAACCAGCUUUUUCCAAAGAGGACAAUCCCAGAGGACUUUUGGAGGAGAGCAGUUUUGCAACUUUGUUCCCAAAAUACAGGGAAGCUUACUUGAAAGAGUGUUGGCCAUUGGUGCAGAAAGCCUUAAAUGAACAUCAUGUUAAUGCAACCCUGGACCUGAUCGAAGGCAGCAUGACUGUUUGUACUACAAAGAAGACUUUUGAUCCAUAUAUCAUCAUUAGGGCCAGAGAUCUGAUAAAACUGUUAGCAAGGAGUGUUUCGUUUGAACAGGCAGUACGAAUUCUUCAGGAUGAUGUUGCAUGUGACAUCAUUAAAAUAGGUUCUUUAGUAAGGAAUAAAGAGAGAUUUGUAAAACGAAGACAACGGCUUAUUGGUCCCAAAGGAUCUACAUUGAAGGUAUUUUUUAAUUAGUGGAAAACUUGAGUCUCUUCCUUAAUAAUUUUUCAGAGUAAUGAAUUUUAACUUGAUCUCUUGAUACAGGCAUUGGAACUCUUAACUAAUUGUUACAUUAUGGUUCAGGGAAACACAGUUUCAGCCAUUGGACCUUUUAGUGGCUUAAAAGAGGUGAGAACUAUGUAUUAUCUUCGAUUCAUUUUCAGCAGAGAACAAAUAAUUUGGUUAUAAUUUAUUGGAUAAUGCUUUAUAAUUGUAUUUUUUUUAGAAUGUGCUUUGAUUUCCCAUUAGUAAAUACUUUUUGUGUCAUAUAAUUCAA
Molecule: small RNA, 851 nt
Filed under: Pongo abelii (Sumatran orangutan)
Lineage: Eukaryota; Metazoa; Chordata; Mammalia; Primates; Hominidae
Description: retained intron
Source: RNAcentral